ACUGAGUGGCUCCAAGAACCUAGAAAAAGCCAUCCAAAUUAUGUACCAAAACCUGCAGCAAGAUGGGCUGGAGAAAGUUCACCUGGAGCCAGUGAGAAUACCCCACUGGGAGAGGGGAGAAGAAUCAGCUGUGAUGCUGGAGCCAAGAAUUCAUAAGAUAGCCAUCCUGGGUCUUGGCAGCAGCAUUGGGACUCCUCCAGAAGCAUUACAGCAGAAGUUCUGGUGGUGACCUCUUUCGAUGAACUGCAGAGAAGGGCCUCAGAAGCAAGAGGGAAGAUUGUUGUUUAUAACCAACCUUACAUCAACUACUCAAGGACGGUGCAAUACCGAACGCAGGGGGCGGUGGAAGCUGCCAAGGUGGGGGCUUUGGCAUCUCUCAUUCGAUCCGUGGCCUCCUUCUCCAUCUACAGGUUUGUCACAA
Molecule: long non-coding RNA, 421 nt
Filed under: Homo sapiens (human)
Lineage: Eukaryota; Metazoa; Chordata; Mammalia; Primates; Hominidae
Description: long non-coding RNA NONHSAT127867.2
Source: RNAcentral